Molecule: transfer RNA, 70 nt
Filed under: Fasciola hepatica (liver fluke)
Lineage: Eukaryota; Metazoa; Platyhelminthes; Trematoda; Plagiorchiida; Fasciolidae
Source: Rfam by way of RNAcentral
GUGCGUGUAGAUUAUAUUUGGUAAAAUCGUAAGGCUGUUAACUUUGAGAUGGUGUGUUUGCCCGCGGACG